Molecule: unclassified non-coding RNA, 386 nt
Filed under: soil metagenome
Description: partial contains 5.8S ribosomal RNA, internal transcribed spacer 2, and large subunit ribosomal RNA
Rfam family: 5.8S ribosomal RNA (bases 1-119)
Source: RNAcentral
GAUGAAGAACGUAGCAAAUGCGAUAAGUAAUGUGAAUUGCAGAAUUCAGUGAAUCAUCGAAUCUUUGAACGCACCUUGCACCCUUUGGCAUUCCGAAGGGUAUGCUCGUUUGAGUGUCAUUGUACUCUCACACUCUCCGAUCCUAUGGAUUCGGGGAGCGGUGGACUUGGGUGUUGCUGCCUUUCCCUGUGGCUCACCUCAAAUGCGUCAGUGCACCUCUUGGUUGGACAUAGUACGGCGUGAUAAGUAUCUUCGCCGGCACCUCGCAAGAGGGUGGCCGAUCGGGAGCUCUGCGCUUUCAAACCGUCUUCGGACAAUUUCUGACAUCUUGACCUCAAAUCGAGUAGGACUACCCGCUGAACUUAAGCAUAUCAAUAAGCGGAGGA